RNAcentral lists this ribosomal RNA (216 nucleotides) under uncultured bacterium. Its description in RNAcentral is "partial 16S ribosomal RNA". It matches the Rfam family "Bacterial small subunit ribosomal RNA", at positions 122 to 334 of the family's 1533-position model. The record is from RNAcentral.
UAACCUGCCUCUUAGCGGGGAUAACUAUUGGAAACGAUAGCUAAUACCGCAUAAAAGUCGAUAUCGCAUGAUGUUGACUUGAAAGGUGCAAUUGCAUCACUAAGAGAUGGACCUGCGUUGUAUUAGCUAGUUGGUGAGGUAACGGCUCACCAAGGCGACGAUACAUAGCCGACCUGAGAGGGUGAUCGGCCACACUGGGACUGAGACACGGCCCAG